RNAcentral lists this ribosomal RNA (295 nucleotides) under Clostridia bacterium. RNAcentral describes it as "partial 23S ribosomal RNA". It matches the Rfam family "Bacterial large subunit ribosomal RNA", at positions 2629 to 2925 of the family's 2925-position model. Lineage: Bacteria; Bacillati; Bacillota; Clostridia. The record is from RNAcentral.
GUUCGGUCCCUAUCCAUCGUGGGCGUAGGAUAUUUGAGAGGGUCUGCACCUAGUACGAGAGGACCGGUGUGGACGUACCGAUGGUGCACCAGUUGUUCCGCCAGGGGCAUGGCUGGGUAGCCAAGUACGGAAAGGAGAAUCGCUGAAAGCAUCUAAGUGAGAAACCAUCCUCAAGAUUAGAUAUCCCAUCUGAAAAGAGUAAGACACCUUUGAGACGAAGAGGUUGAUAGGUCGGAGGUGUAAGUGCGGUAAUGCAUUAAGCUGACCGAUACUAAUAUGUCGAGGGCUUGAUCGA